Molecule: long non-coding RNA, 2126 nt
Filed under: Nicotiana benthamiana
Lineage: Eukaryota; Viridiplantae; Streptophyta; Magnoliopsida; Solanales; Solanaceae
Description: long non-coding RNA (NBEN_LNC013131)
Source: RNAcentral
UCUCUCAACGAGAAGGUCCAAUUCCUCAAUUCCCCUCUUCUUUUCUUUGAUAAUAAUUGACUUUUGAAUUUGCUUAAGUAAACUUAUUCACCUGUGAUUCAUCUAAAAAUGUUGAGUUUCAUUAUUUUAUUCGAUCGGAAUUUACCAUAAGCCAUAAGAUUAAAUUAAUAAAUAUCUCAUAUUUUAUUAAUUUGCACGUUCUUUAGCUGCAUCACUUAGAUACAUUUGUAUAUGAUGUAAAAUGAUCCAAUUAUGUAGCUCAAGCUCGAAAAUUUCUCAAAUUAAUUUACUCCUUACGUAUACUUAUUUUUUUUAUUUAACUUAGCUACAUAUUGAUGUUCUUUGCAAUAUCUUGAUUUGGAUAUCAGCUCGUUUUAAUUCGGAGAGUUCAUCUCAAUAUUCUUAGUUAUUUACAAUAAUGCUAAUGAUGAUUGCCAAUUUCAGCCUGUCUACUAAAUUACUGCAAUUGUUUACUAGACUUGUUGCACGAAAUGUGUCAUAUGGAAAUUUUUGUUGACAGUUGAGGAUUUCUCCUUUCCUUGAAGCUCCAUAAUUUGAUGCAAAAUGAGGCUUUUUCUGAGUCUCUAUAAGUUGUUUGAAGAGUUAAAGAGAGACAGAGACUAUAGAGGCAUUUUCGAUUUUCAUGUAUCUUUUUUCUUGUCUUAGACAUCAUUGCAUUUUGAGAGGAGGAGGGGAGGAAUUGUUUCAACAUACAGCUUUACAUGGGUAAAAUGUAAUCCCCCCAAUGCAUAAUUUGGUGGAGAACGAUGCUGAAUGAAGAGGUAUGGGAUGACUGACCCAUUAUCCUGUCAUUGGAGGCAAAAAAGUAGGCAAGGAUGAGUCAUCUCAAAACUAGAGUAACUGACAGGGGAAAAUGCAAAAUAGCACCAAACUUUGUUGCAGAUUUAAGGGCAAAGCAUAAUUAAAGAAUUGGCUUUAACGAAAAGCGCUAAUGAAGAAAAACUAACUAUGUAAUGCAACAAAAAUAAUUACAAACACAAACAACAAGUAUUUUGAUUAAAGACUGAAGUAACUAUAAUAAAGCAAAAUAUAUGAACUAAGAAUCAUACCAAUCAAGUUAAAAGCCAUUUUAAACAUCCAAUUUUGAUGAAAGGAAAUAGUUUUAUGUUUUCCAAAGCAAGUUUUUGUACUAAAUUUCAAAUUCUUAUUCCUACUCCCCAAGAUUUCAUUUUAAUUUUUUUUUAACAAUUAAUAUAACAGUUUAUCAACUAUAUUAUCUCAUACACAUAGCCCUUGUGUGAUGCAGAACACCCCUUAACGCCUUAGCUCCUGCACUAAAGUUCUACUUAAGCGAGGCGUAGCGCACAACGUUGCUUUAGCUGAGCUUUAAGGCUUAAGUGCGCCUCAAACGAGUUUUUAACGACACUGCUCAUAACCCCUUUCUUCCCUACAUAAUGGACUAUUUAAUUGUUUAAUACCAGAGGAGGUUGUAUUAAUAGCCAGGGGAUGAGAGUCUUACAAAACUAGAAUUUAGAAAGACUGAUUCAUUCUUUAAAAAAAAAAGAAUUUAAAAAGAAUGAUAACCCAUAAAUUUUAAUUACCAAAUUAUAGACCCUUUUAUUUAACCAAAUGUUUAUGUGCUUAAACAAACUAAGAAUAUUGUUAUAUGUUUUUUUUAUCAAAACUAAUUUUGUUCACAGAACAGCAGCACCAAGAGGGUACUGAUAGUAUGAAAAAUAUAACUAGCUUGUACUGAAAAUGAAGUAAGCUAGCCUAUAAUUACAAUGAAAAGGACUUUGUUUAUUACAAUGUAGAAAUAAGUCUGAUGGCAGCAACUUGGUCUUGCGGGACAGGGUCUGCGCGCGCCGUGCUGUUGGCGCGCGCGACACUUCUUGUGUGUGCCUGAGGUUGGGCGCUGGUGCUUGGCAUCAGGGUCUGUGCGCGAGGCGCUGCUGGUAUUGGCCUGCCUCUAGGCGCCGGCAAGGCAUCAGGAUCUGCGCACGCGGCAUUGUCAAUGCGCGCGGCAUUGUUGUCAAUGGCCAGCCAUUGGGCACUGGCGAGAGGUAUCGGCAGGGCGACAGAGGUGCAUACAAGCUUGUGACUUGGUGCAUAUCCCUUGUUUAGUACAAUUUUUCAACCUAUGUAUUACUAAUGCAAGUAUUAGU